UGUUUUUUGUAGUGUUAUAAAAAAUAAAAUCUGCUCUAUGAUUUUUAAAUGGCCGCAGUAUUUUGACUGUGCGAAGGUAGCAUAAUAGCUUGUCUUCUAAUUGGAGUCUGGAAUGAAUGAUUAAAUGAAAGAUUUACUGUUUCUUUGGAAUUAUUGAAUUUUUAAGUUAGGUGAAGAUACUUAAAUGUUUUUAAAAGACGAGAAGACCCCAUCAAGUUUUAUAUUAUAUUUAUUUUAAGGUGUAUUAUUUAAUAAAUUUUGUAUUUAGUUGGGGCAAUUAUUAAAUAGGAAAAACUUUAAUUUUAUUAAAUGUUUAUUAGCAUAUAAAUUGUGAUCCUAGUAUUAGAUUUGAAGAUUAAAUUACUGUGGGGAUAACAGCGUAAUUUCUUUUUAGAGUUCAUAUCGAUGGAGAAGAUUGCGACCUCGAUGUUGGAUUAAGAUUCUUAUUUGGCGCAGGUGUUUAAUAAGGGGGGUCUGUUUCGACCUUNAAAUUCUUACA
Molecule: ribosomal RNA, 499 nt
Filed under: Lithobius microps
Lineage: Eukaryota; Metazoa; Arthropoda; Chilopoda; Lithobiomorpha; Lithobiidae
Description: partial large subunit ribosomal RNA
Rfam family: Bacterial large subunit ribosomal RNA
Source: RNAcentral